Nicotiana tabacum (common tobacco) is the source of this 358-nucleotide non-coding RNA. The record is from RefSeq and is a predicted model, not a curated record. NCBI's taxonomy places the organism in Eukaryota, Viridiplantae, Streptophyta, Magnoliopsida, Solanales, Solanaceae.
UACCCAACUAAUAGUUAUCUCACCAACCCGACCACCAUCCCUAGUUACCCAACUCAUCAUUCUGAUUAUCUACCGUAAAAGAACAUUCGGAGAUGCAGCAAAUAAAUAGAUAAAGAGGGUAAGCCACACAUUAGUAAAUUAAGAAAAAAUUGAUUUUUGGUGGCCUCGAACUGAAAGAAAAUCGAGAUCUAAACUGACGGGUUAUCCCCUGUAGUAUGAUGUAGUUGCUCCUGACACUGUCUCGGUCAGUUCAUGAUUAUCACAGUUUCUCUUCCCAACAUUGCAUGAGCAUUGUCAUACAGUCUGAUGUUCGAUAAUUUAGCGGGUGGAAUAUUACAAUAUGAUGAAGAGUUGCAGA